RNAcentral lists this ribosomal RNA (250 nucleotides) under uncultured bacterium. Its description in RNAcentral is "partial 16S ribosomal RNA". It matches the Rfam family "Bacterial small subunit ribosomal RNA", at positions 524 to 772 of the family's 1533-position model. The record is from RNAcentral.
UACAGAGGGUGCAAGCGUUAAUCGGAAUUACUGGCGUAAAGCGCAUGUAGGUGGACUGUUAAGUUUGAUGUGAAAGCCCUGGGCUUAACCUGGGAAUGGCGUUGAAGACUGGCAGACUAGAGUCGGACAGAGGGCCGUGGGAAUUUCCGGUGUAGCGGUGAAAUGCGUAGAGAGUCGGAAAGAACACCAGUGGCGAAGGCGGCGGCCUGGGUCCAAACUGACACUGAGGUGCGAAAGCGUGGGGAGCAAA